This 30-nucleotide non-coding RNA is filed under the name Rattus norvegicus (Norway rat). Lineage: Eukaryota; Metazoa; Chordata; Mammalia; Rodentia; Muridae. The record is from RNAcentral.
UACUAGCACAUUUAUCACAACAGUGGAGGU